Molecule: small RNA, 124 nt
Filed under: Salmonella enterica subsp. enterica serovar Heidelberg
Lineage: Bacteria; Pseudomonadati; Pseudomonadota; Gammaproteobacteria; Enterobacterales; Enterobacteriaceae
Also listed under: 5 other names
Description: partial RtT sRNA
Rfam family: RtT RNA
About the family: This family represents a bacterial cis-regulatory element known as RtT RNA.
Source: RNAcentral
AUAUCUCUCUGUACGGGAAGGAUGAGAAGCUUCUACCAGGGUUCGAUUCGAGCGCAGCGAGAAAGCGUUGCCGCAGGCAACGACCCGAAGGGCGAAGCGCGCAGCGCUGAGUCAUCCUUCCCCC